This 442-nucleotide ribosomal RNA is filed under the name uncultured bacterium. Its description in RNAcentral is "partial 16S ribosomal RNA". It matches the Rfam family "Bacterial small subunit ribosomal RNA", at positions 338 to 795 of the family's 1533-position model. The record is from RNAcentral.
CCUACGGGAGGCUGCAGUGGGGAAUAUUGGGCAAUGGGCGCAAGCCUGACCCAGCAAUGCCGCGUGAAGGAAGAAGGCUUUCGGGUUGUAAACUUCUUUGACAGGGGAAGAGCAGAAGACGGUACCCUGAAAACAAGCCACGGCUAACUACGUGCCAGCAGCCGCGGUAAUACGUAGGUGGCAAGCGUUGUCCGGAUUUACUGGGUGUAAAGGGCGUGUAGCCGGGAAGGCAAGUCAGAUGUGAAAUCCGGAGGCUCAACCUCCGAAUUGCAUUUGAAACUGUUUUUCUUGAGUACUGGAGAGGCAGACGGAAUUCCUUGUGUAGCGGUGAAAUGCGUAGAUAUAUGGAAGAACACCAGUGGCGAAGGCGGCUCUCUGGUCUGCAACUGACGCUGAGGCUCGAAAGCAUGGGUAGCGAACAGGAUUAGAUACCCUAGUAGUC